RNAcentral lists this long non-coding RNA (1101 nucleotides) under Setaria viridis. RNAcentral's name for it is "long non-coding RNA (SVIR_LNC005668)". Lineage: Eukaryota; Viridiplantae; Streptophyta; Magnoliopsida; Poales; Poaceae. The record is from RNAcentral.
UCAACUCCUAGACUUAAUGCACUCAUAAAUAAAAUAACCAAUAAUUGGACACAUGAAAUAAUAACUCCAAAAUAGAUAGGCAUAGAUGCACCGGGGCUUGCCUUGUCCACAAAAAGGUUAGCGUCUUCCGAUGAUCCUACUUCGCAAGGGAUCAACUCAACAAUCUCCUAAAACUCUGAAGGUUCUUCGGAUAACUCCAAGAAUUCCACUUCUGGAGCUUCAGUGUCUAUGCUUUAGUACAUGCAGGAGUUAGAGAUGCAAACUUUUGAACACAUGACUAUACAACUUUCCUUCAUGAUAAAGUUGCAAGCCAACAAGUGACUAUACAAACUAUCUUCAUGAUAAAGUUGCAAGCCAACACUAAACUACCCAUAAAGAUUGACCCAAAAAAAUUUAAUUUCUUUACUAACCUACCUUAAGCCCUUUUCUUUUAUUUUAAAAAAGCAUUAUAAAUAUUUUCUAAUCUCAGAACUUAAUUCCUAUGAUCUAAUAAUAAUUUGUGAAUAAGAAAACAUUAUUCAGAAUUUUAUGCAUUUAAUAAAGGUUAGGCAUUUAUUUAAAUACCUUAAUCAAAAGGCAUUUAAUAAAUACCUAAAUUUUAUUACCUUUCCUAGGGUUUAAGAAUUUUAAUGCAUAAAGGAAAAUAAAAAAAUCCUACUAAAAUUGGUUUUACUAUUUUUGGACAUUCCUAGAAUUUCCAGUGAAUUAAAUGGUGAUAACCAAAUUUAAUCUAUUUAUCUGCCAAAGGGAAAAUCUUUGAUUAUCCAACCCCCCGCCAAACUUUUCUCACUCACUCUACUUCUACCCCAGAUUUCUGACGCAUGGCCCUGUUGAGCCGGCCCCCUUCUUUUCCUCCCUCUCACUUUCACCUUGGUCCCAACCGUCGGCCCCCUCCCCUCCUCUCAUCUUCCCUGGUGCGUGGACCCCCAGCGCCAGGGGCUUCUUCCUCCCUGCGCCCCAAUGCAGGGCAUAAUAGCAGGGGGCGGGGCCUCGCUGGCGGUGCCUCCCUAGCGGCAUGGCCGGGCUGGGGAGCAACCCCAGCCCGCGGCGCACCUAAGGGUGGCAGCGGCUCCCUUGGAGGCGGUCUGGGCCGGCCCCUCC